Micropterus dolomieu (smallmouth bass) is the source of this 220-nucleotide long non-coding RNA. RefSeq lists it as uncharacterized. The transcript has 4 exons. The record is from RefSeq and is a predicted model, not a curated record. Lineage: Eukaryota; Metazoa; Chordata; Actinopteri; Centrarchiformes; Centrarchidae.
UUCCAGCUUUGUGGCUCAUCAUUGUGUUUGUGGGAGUUGCAGCACUCUUAAUAACUGUUGUUAUUGUUGUUGGACUCAUCAGAUGGAAGAAAACUAAAGGAAAAAAACCCCAGAUGGAUGAAAACACUGGACGGAGCUUAAACCCUGCAGUGAGUCCAGAAAGCAGUCAGGACACGGCUGAUCCUGAAGAUGGUGUUUCCUACGCCUCCAUCAGCUACAC